This is a non-coding RNA of Caenorhabditis elegans, 47 nucleotides long. NCBI's taxonomy places the organism in Eukaryota, Metazoa, Nematoda, Chromadorea, Rhabditida, Rhabditidae. The record is from Rfam.
CCAACGGCCCUCUUUAGGGCCACAAUUUACUGAAAAUCCAUUUUUAU